AAAUUGAAGAGUUUGAUCAUGGCUCAGAUUGAACGCUGGCGGCAGGCCUAACACAUGCAAGUCGAGCGGUAGCACAGAGAGCUUGCUCUCGGGUGACGAGCGGCGGACGGGUGAGUAAUGUCUGGGAAACUGCCUGAUGGAGGGGGAUAACUACUGGAAACGGUAGCUAAUACCGCAUAACGUCGCAAGACCAAAGUGGGGGACCUUCGGGCCUCAUGCCAUCAGAUGUGCCCAGAUGGGAUUAGCUGGUAGGUGAGGUAACGGCUCACCUAGGCGACGAUCCCUAGCUGGUCUGAGAGGAUGACCAGCCACACUGGAACUGAGACACGGUCCAGACUCCUACGGGAGGCAGCAGUGGGGAAUAUUGCACAAUGGGCGCAAGCCUGAUGCAGCCAUGCCGCGUGUGUGAAGAAGGCCUUCGGGUUGUAAAGCACUUUCAGCGGGGAGGAAGGCGAUAAGGUUAAUAACCUUGUCGAUUGACGUUACCCGCAGAAGAAGCACCGGCUAACUCCGUGCCAGCAGCCGCGGUAAUACGGAGGGUGCAAGCGUUAAUCGGAAUUACUGGGCGUAAAGCGCACGCAGGCGGUCUGUCAAGUCGGAUGUGAAAUCCCCGGGCUCAACCUGGGAACUGCAUUCGAAACUGGCAGGCUAGAGUCUUGUAGAGGGGGGUAGAAUUCCAGGUGUAGCGGUGAAAUGCGUAGAGAUCUGGAGGAAUACCGGUGGCGAAGGCGGCCCCCUGGACAAAGACUGACGCUCAGGUGCGAAAGCGUGGGGAGCAAACAGGAUUAGAUACCCUGGUAGUCCACGCUGUAAACGAUGUCGAUUUGGAGGUUGUGCCCUUGAGGCGUGGCUUCCGGAGCUAACGCGUUAAAUCGACCGCCUGGGGAGUACGGCCGCAAGGUUAAAACUCAAAUGAAUUGACGGGGGCCCGCACAAGCGGUGGAGCAUGUGGUUUAAUUCGAUGCAACGCGAAGAACCUUACCUGGUCUUGACAUCCACAGAACUUUCCAGAGAUGGAUUGGUGCCUUCGGGAACUGUGAGACAGGUGCUGCAUGGCUGUCGUCAGCUCGUGUUGUGAAAUGUUGGGUUAAGUCCCGCAACGAGCGCAACCCUUAUCCUUUGUUGCCAGCGGUUAGGCCGGGAACUCAAAGGAGACUGCCAGUGAUAAACUGGAGGAAGGUGGGGAUGACGUCAAGUCAUCAUGGCCCUUACGACCAGGGCUACACACGUGCUACAAUGGCAUAUACAAAGAGAAGCGACCUCGCGAGAGCAAGCGGACCUCAUAAAGUAUGUCGUAGUCCGGAUUGGAGUCUGCAACUCGACUCCAUGAAGUCGGAAUCGCUAGUAAUCGUAGAUCAGAAUGCUACGGUGAAUACGUUCCCGGGCCUUGUACACACCGCCCGUCACACCAUGGGAGUGGGUUGCAAAAGAAGUAGGUAGCUUAACCUUCGGGAGGGCGCUUACCACUUUGUGAUUCAUGACUGGGGUGAAGUCGUAACAAGGUAACCGUAGGGGAACCUGCGGUUGGAUCACCUCCUUACCUUAAAGAA
Molecule: ribosomal RNA, 1550 nt
Filed under: Klebsiella variicola
Lineage: Bacteria; Pseudomonadati; Pseudomonadota; Gammaproteobacteria; Enterobacterales; Enterobacteriaceae
Description: bacterial SSU rRNA
Rfam family: Bacterial small subunit ribosomal RNA
Source: RNAcentral